AAAACGACUCUCGGCAACGGAUAUCUCGGCUCUCGCAUCGAUGAAGAACGUAGCGAAAUGCGAUACUUGGUGUGAAUUGCAGAAUCCCGUGAACCAUCGAGUCUUUGAACGCAAGUUGCGCCCGAAGCUUUCGGGCUGAGGGCACGUCUGCCUGGG
Molecule: ribosomal RNA, 156 nt
Filed under: Zygophyllum xanthoxylum
Lineage: Eukaryota; Viridiplantae; Streptophyta; Magnoliopsida; Zygophyllales; Zygophyllaceae
Description: Zygophyllum xanthoxylon 5.8S ribosomal RNA
Rfam family: 5.8S ribosomal RNA
About the family: 5.8S ribosomal RNA (5.8S rRNA) is a component of the large subunit of the eukaryotic ribosome.
Source: RNAcentral